AUGCAUUGGUACUCUUGGUGGAAACUCUGCUAUCCUAAAGCCGAGGGAAGAAUGGGCUUCAGAGAUUUAUAUUCCUUCAACUUAGCAUUGUUAUCAAAGCAGUGCAGGAGGAUUAUUACAAACCCCGACUUAUUAUGUGCUAGAAUUCUAAAAGUGAAGUACGUCCCUAACAACAGCCUUUUACAAGGAACCCUUAAAAAUGGUUCUUCCUUUACAUGGCAAAGUAUUAUGAAGGGACUAGAAACCUUCAAGUUGGGGUACAUAUGGAGGACUGAUACAGGAGGAAAUGUUCAUAUAUGGAGAGAUCCCUGGAUUCCAUUAAGUCCGGAUAGGAAGGUCAUUACAGCUAGGGGACACACAAUCCUAGCUACAGUUGAUGAACUCACCGAUCCUAAUGCAAACACAUGGGAUGAAGAUCUGAUUAGCUCCAUCUUUAACCCAGUUGAUACAAGGAGAAUACUUCAGAUUCCAUUGAGCUAUGGCGCUUUCGAUGAUUUUAUCGCUUGGCAUCCUGACCGGAAGGGUAUAUUCUCAGUCAGACCAUCAUACCGGGUGCAAUGGACUCAAACUUUUCAGCGCAAUGCAAAUGUGCUGGAGAGGCCGAGCGGGUCCUGUUCUCAGGCGGUGUGGAGUGUAUUGUGGAAGCUGAACAUCCCAUGGAAAAUACAAAUUUUCUACUGGCGUGCGUUACAUGGAACUAUGCCUCUAAAAUCCAUACUCCAUAACCGGCACGUGGGUUCGAUGGGAGCAUGCCCGAUCUGUCAUCAGGGUGUAGAGGAUGUGUGGCAUCUGCUGUUUGAGUGCACUCAUGCAAGGGAUUUAUGGAGUCGGCUGGGUGUUCUGGACAGAGUGGACGAGGCAAGGAGAGUAGACCGGUCUGGAUCGGUCAUUUUGGAACAUAUCCUUCUUGCACCAGAUAGUCCAGCUCUCAUUAAACCGAAUCUGGAUGUUAAACAAAUCAUAGCAGUGGGUGGUUAG
RNAcentral lists this ribosomal RNA (978 nucleotides) under Triticum aestivum (bread wheat). RNAcentral's name for it is "partial small subunit ribosomal RNA". Lineage: Eukaryota; Viridiplantae; Streptophyta; Magnoliopsida; Poales; Poaceae. The record is from RNAcentral.